Molecule: ribosomal RNA, 253 nt
Filed under: uncultured bacterium
Lineage: Bacteria
Description: partial 16S ribosomal RNA
Rfam family: Bacterial small subunit ribosomal RNA
Source: RNAcentral
UACGUAGGGUCCGAGCGUUGUCCGGAAUUAUUGGGCGUAAAGAGCUCGUAGGCGGUCCGUUAAGUCGGAAGUGAAAUCUCAAGGCUCAACCUUGAAAUCGCUUUCGAUACUGGCGGACUUGAGGCAGGUAGGGGAAGGUGGAAUUCCUGGUGUAGCGGUGAAAUGCGCAGAUAUCAGGAGGAACACCGGUGGCGAAGGCGGGUCUCUGGGCAACAACUGACGCUGAGGAGCGAAAGCGUGGGGAGCGAACAGG